This 499-nucleotide ribosomal RNA is filed under the name uncultured Glomeromycotina. Its description in RNAcentral is "partial small subunit ribosomal RNA". It matches the Rfam family "Eukaryotic small subunit ribosomal RNA", at positions 591 to 1092 of the family's 1831-position model. The record is from RNAcentral. Lineage: Eukaryota; Fungi; Glomeromycota.
CCAAUAGCGUAUAUUAAAGUUGCUGCAGUUAAAAAGCUCGUAGUUGAAUUUCGGGACCAUCAUGUCGGUCGUGCCUCGGUACGUACUGGCAUUGUUGGUUUCUCCCUUCUGACGAACCAUGAUGUCAUUUAUUUGGUGUUGUGGGGAAUCAGGACUGUUACUUUGAAAAAAUUAGAGUGUUUAAAGCAGGCUCACGCUUGAAUACAUUAGCAUGGAAUAAUGAAAUAGGACGUUUGAUUCUAUUUUGUUGGUUUCUAGGAUCGACGUAAUGAUUAAUAGGGAUAGUUGGGGGCAUUAGUAUUCAAUUGUCAGAGGUGAAAUUCUUGGAUGUAUUGAAGACUAACUACUGCGAAAGCAUUUGCCAAGGAUGUUUUCAUUAAUCAAGAACGAAAGUUAGGGGAUCGAAGACGAUCAGAUACCGUCGUAGUCUUAACCAUAAACUAUGCCGACUAGGGAUCGGAUGAUGUUAAUUUUUUAAUGACUCAUUCGGCGCCUUACG